ACUCCUACGGGAGGCAGCAGUGGGGAAUAUUGCACAAUGGGCGCAAGCCUGAUGCAGCCAUGCCGCGUGUGUGAAGAAGGCCCUUCGGGUUGGUUAAAGCACUUUCAGUUGUGAGGAAGGUGGGUGUCCGUUAAUAGGCGGCAUCAUUUGACGUUAGCAACAGAAGAAGCACCGGCUAACUCCGUGCCAGCAGCCGCGGUAAUACGGAGGGUGCGAG
RNAcentral lists this ribosomal RNA (217 nucleotides) under uncultured bacterium. RNAcentral's name for it is "partial 16S ribosomal RNA". It matches the Rfam family "Bacterial small subunit ribosomal RNA", at positions 335 to 538 of the family's 1533-position model. The record is from RNAcentral.